This 468-nucleotide ribosomal RNA is filed under the name uncultured bacterium. RNAcentral's name for it is "partial 16S ribosomal RNA". It matches the Rfam family "Bacterial small subunit ribosomal RNA", at positions 28 to 507 of the family's 1533-position model. The record is from RNAcentral.
GACGAACGCUGGCGGCGUGCUUAACACAUGCAAGUCGAACGGAAAGGCCCUGCUUUUGUGGGGUGCUCGAGUGGCGAACGGGUGAGUAACACGUGAGUAACCUGCCCUUGACUUUGGGAUAACUUCAGGAAACUGGGGCUAAUACCGGAUAGGAGCUCCUGCUGCAUGGUGGGGGUUGGAAAGUUUCGGCGCUUGGGGAUGGACUCGCGGCUUAUCAGCUUGUUGGUGGGGUAGUGGCUUACCAAGGCUUUGACGGGUAGCAGGCCUGAGAGGGUGACCGGCCACAUUGGGACUGAUGUGCGUCCCAGUCUCCUACGGGAGGCAGCAGUGGGGAAUAUUGCACAAUGGGCGGAAGCCUGAUGCAGCAACGCCGCGUGCGGGAUGACGGCCUUCGGGUUGUAAACCGCUUUCGCCUGUGACGAAGCGUGAGUGACGGUAAUGGGUAAAGAAGCACCGGCUAACUACGUG